Molecule: ribosomal RNA, 825 nt
Filed under: uncultured bacterium
Lineage: Bacteria
Description: bacterial SSU rRNA
Rfam family: Bacterial small subunit ribosomal RNA
Source: RNAcentral
UGCAAGUCGGACGAACUUAAUCGUUAGUUUACUAAUGAAGCGGUUAGUGGCGGACUGGUGAGUAACACGUAAGCAACCUGCCUAUUAGAGGGGAACAACAGUUAGAAAUGACUGCUAAUACCGCAUAUGCCAUAAGUAUCGCAUGAUACAAGUGGGAAAGGAGCAAUCCGCUAAUAGAUGGGCUUGCGUCUGAUUAGAUAGUUGGUGGGGUAACGGCCUACCAAGUCGACGAUCAGUAGCCGAGUUGAGAGACUCUACGGCCACAUUGGGACUGAGAUACGGCCCAGACUCCUACGGGAGGCAGCAGUCGGGAAUAUUGCGCAAUGGAGGAAACUCUGACGCAGUGACGCCGCGUGCAGGAAGAAGGUUUUCGGAUUGUAAACUGCUUUAGACAGGGAAGAAAAAGACAGUACCUGUAGAAUAAGCUCCGGCUAACUACGUGCCAGCAGCCGCGGUAAUACGUAGGGAGCAAGCGUUAUCCGGAUUUAUUGGGUGUAAAGGGUGCGUAGACGGGAAAAUAAGUUAGUUGUGAAAUCCCCAUGCUUAACAUGGGAACUGCAACUAAAACUGUUUUUCUUGAGUGCUGGAGAGGAAAGUGGAAUUCCUAGUGUAGCGGUGAAAUGCGUAGAUAUUAGGAGGAACACCAGUGGCGAAGGCGACUUUCUGGACAGUAACUGACGUUGAGGCACGAAAGUGUGGGGAGCAAACAGGAUUAGAUACCCUGGUAGUCCACACCGUAAACGAUGGAUACUAGGUGUAGGGUGUGAUAAACGCUCUGUGCCGUCGCAAACGCAGUAAGUAUCCCACCUGGGGAGUACGGCCGCA